Molecule: unclassified non-coding RNA, 1044 nt
Filed under: Hevea brasiliensis (rubber tree)
Lineage: Eukaryota; Viridiplantae; Streptophyta; Magnoliopsida; Malpighiales; Euphorbiaceae
Source: RNAcentral
GCUCAAGUCAUUUUUAGGACAGUGAAAUUUUAAAUUUAAAUUUCAAAUAAAGUAAAUUAUUUAUAAAAAAAAUUCAAAACAUACAUAAAUUAUUGAAGAGCCCAAAUUUCCAACAAUUGCAAGUGAUACUGACAAGGGUUCUAGCGAACAUUUAUUUGAACAUCCUUGAUGGAUAGAUCAGAGCAUUCCCAACCAAUAACAGAUUCUUAUACAUGAAAGAAAUUGAUUGGAGUCAAUUUUUGCCUAAAUGAGAGGCCAUCUUUGGUUGUGCUUCCUUUCUCUCUGUUUUGGUCCUUCUCUAACACUUCUCUCUUCUGAUCCUUCUCCAUCACUUCACAUUUUAGUAGAGAAGAUUGAUAACCACUGCUACAUUAAACCAGAUGCCACUUGCAUACUACUCAUCACCUCAACUUUUACACUGUUAAGUAGGACUGGACUUUUUUCCAACCCAAUCCCACAAUCAUAACCUUUACACUCCAAAUCCUAAUCCUAGACAGGUGGAUAUAAAUGGGAAAAUCCCUCAUAUAAACAUUAGUGUAAUAAUUACAGCAAAUAUCAUUCAUAGAAUUAGAUCAUCAAAAUAUAUUUUGGGAUUCAGGUUGUGUAACGCUUAAAAAUAUGUUUAUUUUUAUUAAAUGAAUGAAUAUUUAAAAAUAAAAAUAAUUUGUGAUGGUCACUUUUGGCUAGUCAAGUGACUCCAUACUGCUAUAAGAAUUUUCCGACUCUGAAUCCUAAUUCUGAUCCGUAUCCGAUGACCCCCACCCACCACCUAGAAUGACGAUAUUGUAAGAAAUAACCCCCCUCCUCUGGCGCCGCCCUUCUUCACUUCCAUCGCCGUCACCGUCACUACCGCCAUCUUCCACCGGGAUAAUGAAACGACAAAGCGGACACGACCCAUGCAACCCAAGCCACUUCUCAAUACAACCGGAGUGAAAACCAUGCUUACACGGAAUCUCUCGCAUCUCGCUGCUAACACGCAUUUCGUCUAAACAAAUAGCACAGUCCUUGACGCAAUCAUCAGUUACUGUUAUUCUGGGCAUGGCA